GAGGAAAUAUGCAACUCUGUUUCUGAGUGGUGCAGCCAACUUUGCCAGCAUCCGUCACUUUUAUUCUGUUCGUAGAACGUGUUACACUAUUUCAGUUGAAUUUAAAAGAUGUGAACUGUUACUGCAAUCGCCGGCUAAGGCAGGCUCUAAAAUACAUAUUUGAAAUUGAAAAAAUGGGACACUAUCAGUGUAGUCGUAACUAAAAUGCCACUGAAAAACCUAAGGUUAUGCAAUCAUGUAACGGGUAAUUGUAAACCUCAUGUAGACUGUCUGCCAUACAUCAACCUGGACGAGAAUACCUAAUUUAGGUGCUGGAAGUGUUGGAAAAGCUUAUCCAUGGCAAUACGCUGUAAAUGUAAAUACAUUCAAUAAAGAAACAGUUGAAAUUAAAAA
Molecule: long non-coding RNA, 393 nt
Organism: Drosophila mojavensis
Lineage: Eukaryota; Metazoa; Arthropoda; Insecta; Diptera; Drosophilidae
Exons: 5
Source: RefSeq, a predicted model, not a curated record